This 88-nucleotide transfer RNA is filed under the name Anaerorhabdus furcosa. RNAcentral describes it as "tRNA_Ser_GGA". It matches the Rfam family "tRNA". From Rfam's summary of the family: Transfer RNA (tRNA) molecules are approximately 80 nucleotides in length. Their secondary structure includes four short double-helical elements and three loops (D, anti-codon, and T loops). Lineage: Bacteria; Bacillati; Bacillota; Erysipelotrichia; Erysipelotrichales; Erysipelotrichaceae. The record is from RNAcentral.
GAAGAGCUGGCCGAGCGGUCGAAGGCACCAUCUUGGAAAGGUGGCGUAGUGCAAGCUACCGUGGGUUCGAAUCCCACGCUCUUCGCCA